RNAcentral lists this ribosomal RNA (253 nucleotides) under uncultured bacterium. RNAcentral describes it as "partial 16S ribosomal RNA". It matches the Rfam family "Bacterial small subunit ribosomal RNA", at positions 524 to 776 of the family's 1533-position model. The record is from RNAcentral.
UACGAACCGUACGAACGUUAUUCGGAUUCACUGGGCUUAAAGCGUGCGUAGGCGGCUGGGAAAGUUGGGUGUGAAAGCCCUCGGCUCAACCGAGGAAUUGCGCCCAAAACUACCUGGCUUGAGGAAGAUAGAGGUAAGCGGAACUAAUGGUGGAGCGGUGAAAUGCGUUGAUAUCAUUAGGAACACCUGUGGCGAAAGCAGCUUACUGGGUCUUAUCUGACGCUGAGGCACGAAAGCUAGGGGAGCGAACGGG